RNAcentral lists this ribosomal RNA (468 nucleotides) under uncultured bacterium. RNAcentral's name for it is "partial 16S ribosomal RNA". It matches the Rfam family "Bacterial small subunit ribosomal RNA", at positions 28 to 507 of the family's 1533-position model. The record is from RNAcentral.
GAUGAACGCUGGCGGCGUGCCUAACACAUGCAAGUCGAACGGAAAGGCCCUGCGCUUGUGGGGUUCUCGAGUGGCGAACGGGUGAGUAAAACGCGUGGAUCAUGCCCUUGUCUUUCUGAUAACAUCUCGAAAAUGCGGCUAAUAUCGGAUAUGAUCUCCUGCACCACAGGGGGCGUUGGAAAGUUUCGGCGGUUGGGGAUGGACUCGCGGCUUACGAGCUUGUUGGUGGGGUAGUGGCUGACCAAGGCUUCGACGGAUAGCCGGCCUUAGAGCGUGAACGGCCACAAUGCGCCUGCGGUACGGAGCAGACGCGAAUGGGCCGCAGCGGUCGGAAGUAUGGCACAGUGAGCGGGCGCGUGAUACGGAGGUCCCCGGUGCGGAAAGACGGCUUUCUGGUUAUGAACCGCUUUCGCCUGAGACAAAGCGGUCUUGACGGUACCGAAUAAAGAAGCACCGGCUAACUACGUG